RNAcentral lists this ribosomal RNA (497 nucleotides) under uncultured bacterium. RNAcentral describes it as "partial 16S ribosomal RNA". It matches the Rfam family "Bacterial small subunit ribosomal RNA", at positions 28 to 507 of the family's 1533-position model. The record is from RNAcentral.
GAUGAACGCUGGCGGCGUGCCUAAUACAUGCAAGUCGAGCGAACAGACGAUGAGCUUGCUCCUCGGACGUUAGCGGCGGACGUGUGAGUAACGCGUGUAUAACCUCCCUAUAUUACUGAUAUCAUUUCGGAACAGCGGAUAUAAUCCCAGAGAAGAUACUGAACCACAGUGUGGAAUGGUAAAAUACGGUUGUUCGGUCACGUAUAGCGGGUUCCGCGCCGCAUUGGCUAGUUGUUAAGGUAACGGCUUACCAAGGCAACGAUGCGUGGCCGACCUGAGAGGGUGAUCGGCCACACUGGAACUGAGACACGGUCCAGACUCCUACGGGAGGCAGCAGUAGGGAAUCUUCCGCAAUGGGCGAAAGCCUGACGGAGCAAGGCCGCGUGAGUGAUGAAGGUCUUCGGAUCGUAAAACUCUGUUAUUAGGGAAGAACAACUGUGUAAGUAACUAUGCACGUAUUGACGGUACCUAAUAAGAAAGCAACGGCUAACUACGUG